This 230-nucleotide ribosomal RNA is filed under the name uncultured bacterium. RNAcentral describes it as "partial 16S ribosomal RNA". It matches the Rfam family "Bacterial small subunit ribosomal RNA", at positions 548 to 776 of the family's 1533-position model. The record is from RNAcentral.
GAAUUAUUGGGCGUAAAGAGCUCGUAGGCGGUGUGUCGCGUCGGCCGUGAAAACCUGCAGCUUAACUGUGGGCUUGCGGUCGAUACGGGCAUCACUGGAGUUCGGCAGGGGAGACUGGAAUUCCUGGUGUAGCGGUGAAAUGCGCAGAUAUCAGGAGGAACACCGGUGGCGAAGGCGGGUCUCUGGGCCGAUACUGACGCUGAGGAGCGAAAGCGUGGGGAGCGAACAGG